This 150-nucleotide unclassified non-coding RNA is filed under the name uncultured Xylariaceae. RNAcentral's name for it is "sequence contains ITS2". Lineage: Eukaryota; Fungi; Ascomycota; Sordariomycetes; Xylariales; Xylariaceae. The record is from RNAcentral.
CAACCCUCGGGCCCCCGUUGCCCGGUGUUGGGGGACUACGUCGUAGCCCCCAAAAGACAGUGGCGGAGCCGGCCCCGGCCCCGGACGUAGUACAUAUCCUCGUCCGCGGCAGGUCCGGCGUCCCGCCGUGAAACACCCCAAAUCUCAAGG